AUACGUAGGGGGCGAGCGUUGUCCGGAUUUACUGGGCGUAAAGGGUGAGUAGGCGGUUAUAUGUGUCAGAUGUAAAAGGCUAUGGCUUAACCAUAGUUAGCAUUUGAAACUGUAUGACUUGAGUGCAGGAGAGGUAAGUGGAAUUCCUAGUGUAGCGGUGAAAUGCGUAGAUAUUAGGAGGAACACCAGUGGCGAAGGCGACUUACUGGACUGUAACUGACGCUGAGUCACGAGAGCGUGGGUAGCAAACAGGAUUAGAUACCCUGGUAGUCCACGCUGUAAACGAUGAGUGCUAGGUGUUGGCCAGCGAUGGUCAGUGCCGCAGUAAACACAUUAAGCACUCCGCCUGGGGAGUACGGUCGCAAGACUGAAACUCAAAGGAAUUGGCGGGG
This 392-nucleotide ribosomal RNA is filed under the name uncultured bacterium. RNAcentral's name for it is "partial 16S ribosomal RNA". It matches the Rfam family "Bacterial small subunit ribosomal RNA", at positions 523 to 918 of the family's 1533-position model. The record is from RNAcentral.